UACGUAGGGUGCGAGCGUUGUCCGGAAUUAUUGGGCGUAAAGAGCUCGUAGGCGGUGUGUCACGUCGGCCGUGAAAACCUGCAGCUUAACUGUGGCGUGCGGUCGAUACGGGCAUCACUGGAGUUCGGCAGGGGAGACUGGAAUUCCUGGUGUAGCGGUGAAAUGCGCAGAUAUCAGGAAGAACACCCGUGGCGAAGGCGGCUCUCUGGGACGGUACUGACGCUGAGACGCGAAAGCGUGGGGAGCGAACAGG
This 253-nucleotide ribosomal RNA is filed under the name uncultured bacterium. RNAcentral's name for it is "partial 16S ribosomal RNA". It matches the Rfam family "Bacterial small subunit ribosomal RNA", at positions 524 to 776 of the family's 1533-position model. The record is from RNAcentral.